Molecule: ribosomal RNA, 383 nt
Filed under: uncultured bacterium
Lineage: Bacteria
Description: bacterial SSU rRNA
Rfam family: Bacterial small subunit ribosomal RNA
Source: RNAcentral
GACGAACGCUGGCGGCGUGCUUAACACAUGCAAGUCGAGCGGAAAGGCCCUUCGGGGUACUCGAGCGGCGAACGGGUGAGUAACACGUGAGUAACCUGCCCUAGGCUUUGGGAUAACCCUCGGAAACGGGGGCUAAUACUGGAUAUUCCCGCGGGAUCGCAUGGUUUUGUGGGGAAAGGUUUCCGGCUUGGGAUGGGCUCGCGGCCUAUCAGCUUGUUGGUGGGGUGAUGGCCUACCAAGGCGACGACGGGAGCCGGCCUGAGAGGGCGACCGGCCACACUGGGACUGAGACACGGCCCAGACUCCUACGGGAGGCAGCAGUGGGGAAUAUUGCACAAUGGGCGGAAGCCUGAUGCAGCGACGCCGCGUGAGGGAUGACGGCC